GGGGGGAGGCUGGAUCCUGGGCUGUGUCUCAGCGCCGUAUGCUCCCGGUCUGCACUGUUGGAUUCGUGCUCCUGGCCACGCAGCCGCCU
Molecule: microRNA precursor, 89 nt
Filed under: Canis lupus familiaris (dog)
Lineage: Eukaryota; Metazoa; Chordata; Mammalia; Carnivora; Canidae
Also listed under: 1 other name
Description: mir-8799 microRNA precursor family
Rfam family: mir-8799 microRNA precursor family
Source: Rfam by way of RNAcentral